GAUACUUCCCUGGCGAUGCUGUAGAUGUCAUCGGCGAAGUUGUUGACGGUGGCACGGAUCUAUUCGGCCGUCGGAUUUGAUUUGACAUUUUCGAAGAAAUAUUGAAGGGUCCGAAGAAACGGGGAAUCAAAGAUUCCCCUCCCCUCUUCUUUCGAAAAGAUCAAAACGGCGAUUGUAGAUGUCGUCGACGGAGUUGUUAACAGUGGCGUGGAUCUGUUCGGCCGGCAAAUUUGGUUCGAUAUUUAUCGAAGAAAUGUUGAAGGGUCCGAAGAAACAGGGAAUCAAAGAUGCCCCUCCCCUCUUCUUUCGAAAGUAUCAAACCAAACAUGCUGGAGACGGUCGCGGCAAUGUAGAUCACCCAUUCCGUCAUCAACGACUUCAGAUGGGGUAUUGAGAGGUCCGAAGAAACGGGGAAUCAAAGAUUCCCCUCCCCUCUUCUUUCGAAAAGAUCAAAACGGCGAUUGUAGAUGUCGUCGACGGAGUUGUUAACAGUGGCGUGGAUCUGUUCGGCCGGCAAAUUUGGUUCGAUAUUUAUCGAAGAAAUGUUGAAGGGUCCGAAGAAACAGGGAAUCAAAGAUCCCCCUCCCCUCUUCUUUCGAAAGUAUCAAACCAAACAUGCUGGAGAUGGUCGCGGCAAUGUAGAUCACCCAUUCCGUCAUCAACGACUUCAGAUGGGGUAUUGAGAGGUCCGAAGAAACGGGGAAUCAAAGAUUCCCCUCCACUCUCCCACCGAAGCCAUCUAGAUGGUAUGGAUGGCUACGAUCGCAGGACAAAAGAAAAAAAGAAAAGGGGGGGAAGAAAAGAGAUUUUUUUUUGUUUAUAUUAUUUUUACUUUCUUUCUUUUUUCUUUCUUUUUUA
RNAcentral lists this long non-coding RNA (858 nucleotides) under Ananas comosus (pineapple). RNAcentral's name for it is "long non-coding RNA (ACOM_LNC011624)". Lineage: Eukaryota; Viridiplantae; Streptophyta; Magnoliopsida; Poales; Bromeliaceae. The record is from RNAcentral.